AGAAAGCCUAGGCGAUUCUCACGCCGCUGGUGGCACAGACAGUGCCUCAAAUACUUCUGCUGCUGCUGUGUUACAGCACGUGGAGAUUCUGGCCAAUAAGCUUACCAUCUGCGUCCUCCGUGCAGGAAAGUAUAACAUCUGACGCCGCCCUGCCAGAGAG
Long non-coding RNA from Pseudophryne corroboree (corroboree frog), 160 nucleotides. RefSeq lists it as uncharacterized. NCBI's taxonomy places the organism in Eukaryota, Metazoa, Chordata, Amphibia, Anura, Myobatrachidae. The record is from RefSeq and is a predicted model, not a curated record. The transcript has 4 exons.